Molecule: long non-coding RNA, 223 nt
Organism: Olea europaea var. sylvestris
Lineage: Eukaryota; Viridiplantae; Streptophyta; Magnoliopsida; Lamiales; Oleaceae
Exons: 2
Source: RefSeq, a predicted model, not a curated record
GUGGUUAUUCCCAAUUGGAUAUUAGAACUUAAGGUUGCAUAUCAAUCUGUACCCAUAACUUGCAGCUAUGUACUGGCUUUGUUUAUUAAGGUUUGUCGGCUCCCACAAAACAAAUGUUGGCUGCAUUUUUGCCUUAUAGUCGUAACCAGUUUUAAAGCGAUAUUGUGAUACGUGACCUGUACAUAUAUUCAAGUGCCUUUUUAUUAUCGUUGCUCAAGAAUGA